This 465-nucleotide ribosomal RNA is filed under the name Vreelandella stevensii. RNAcentral's name for it is "partial 16S ribosomal RNA". It matches the Rfam family "Bacterial small subunit ribosomal RNA", at positions 338 to 795 of the family's 1533-position model. The record is from RNAcentral. Lineage: Bacteria; Pseudomonadati; Pseudomonadota; Gammaproteobacteria; Oceanospirillales; Halomonadaceae.
CCUACGGGGGGCUGCAGUGGGGAAUAUUGGACAAUGGGGGGAACCCUGAUCCAGCCAUGCCGCGUGUGUGAAGAAGGCCCUCGGGUUGUAAAGCACUUUCAGUGAGGAAGAACGCCUGGUGGUUAAUACCCAUCAGGAAAGACAUCACUCACAGAAGAAGCACCGGCAAACUCCGUGCCAGCAGCCGCGGUAAUACGGAGGGUGCGAGCGUUAAUCGGAAUUACUGGGCGUAAAGCGCGCGUAGGUGGCUUGAUAAGCCGGUUGUGAAAGCCCCGGGCUCAACCUGGGAACGGCAUCCGGAACUGUCAAGCUAGAGUGCAGGAGAGGAAGGUAGAAUUCCCGGUGUAGCGGUGAAAUGCGUAGAGAUCGGGAGGAAUACCAGUGGCGAAGGCGGCCUUCUGGACUGACACUGACACUGAGGUGCGAAAGCGUGGGUAGCAAACAGGAUUAGAUACCCUGGUAGUC